GACACCAUAACAGGUAACAAGACACCAUAACAGGUAACAAGACACCAUAACAGGUAACAAGACACCAUAACAGGUAACAGACACCAUAACAGGUAACAAGACACCAUAACAGGUAACAAGACACC
This is a long non-coding RNA of Homarus americanus (American lobster), 125 nucleotides long. RefSeq lists it as uncharacterized. The record is from RefSeq and is a predicted model, not a curated record. The transcript is spliced from 2 exons. NCBI's taxonomy places the organism in Eukaryota, Metazoa, Arthropoda, Malacostraca, Decapoda, Nephropidae.